UAUUGGCAAUUGUUAAAAAUUGCUAAAAAUUUCUCUAAAAAAAUUCUACAAUUCUAUUUGUGAAACGUGAAAUGAAAAUUAGUAGAAAAAAUGAUACAUUGGAAAGUUUUGUGAAAUUUUUCUCGAAAACGAAAAAUAAGUAUUUAUUAUAAAUUAUUAAAAUUUAAUUAAUUUAUUAAGUAAAAUACAAUUCUAUCGGAAAGAUUUUACUUUAAAUUUUUGAUUUUUCAAGAUAUUAAUCAACUGAGAUAUAAAUGAUUUUAAAUGAAUUUCUCUUUGUAACAUAUCAUUUGAUCCAAUCGAGUUUUCCACUAAAAUUUCGUGUAUACAGUCACCUACGUUACCGAUAUGGAAAAAGUUUGAUGCGCGUUUUCACCAAAAGAUAGAGCCACGUACAACGCUCGCGCGUAUUUCGUGGGAUAUGUAAUAUCGUUUAUCGUAAUGUCAAAUCUUUUUUUUUUACUAUUUAAUCAUUGAUUUAACAUUCUUCAAUUAUAUAUAUAUAUUCACUUAUCGUAUAACUAUCAUUAUAAAUAUCUUUUCCAAAGUAUAUUUUCAAAGAAAUAAUACGUUUGUUAGUUUGUAACGUGGCGAUCUAAUACACCAUUCGACGCAAUAGUUCAUUUAUGUUUCGUUAUCUAACAAAAAUAUAUGUUAAUCGUUGUCUUAUAAUACUAAAAAGACUAAAAUUCGUAAUUAUUGUUGACACACUUUCACUUGAAAACAAUCUUAUUAUAAAAAAACGCUGUUAGACUAGGUUAUAAUUAAAAUAAACGUCGAAUAUCGAUAUAUAAUGUAUCUAUGGUAUUAUAAUAGCAAUGCUGCCAACAUUAAAACUAACGUAUGCUUGAAAGUUACGAAAAAUUUUACUAAAAUUCGAUUAUAAUGUAUUAAAUAUUGUUCAAAUAAAAAAUGUUAACGUGUUUCACAAAGUCAAUUUAUUACUGAAGAAGAAGAAACAGCCAAAGAUGAAUUAAUCGAAUGAUCAAAUUGAUAGAAGAUAGAAUGAUUUUAACUAGCGAUUAUAUUCUUAACCAUGCAAGUAUACACCAAUGACAAACUAUGAUCGUUAUACGAGGUCGAGAAGUGGCGGAAACAUAUAGGAGGCGGAGAAACGCACGCACCUCUCUCUGUGUAUGGAAAGUUUUAGCAUAUCGUUGCGGGCAUAUCGCGGACAGGCAACUGAAUUAAUUACAACGCUCGAGACGCUUCCCGGCGAAGUUAAAUAAGCGUUAACGUUGAAUUUUCAUUUCCCGCCAUGUUGACGCCGAAACCAGCCGAAUUUCAGGGACGAUCGCAAAGCUGUGCCACGUGCGAUAUCAAGGCUAUAUUUCAACAAUAGGAAAAAAUGAAAGUGGUACGAUAGUUGCACAAUGUUGAAUCAGGAAGUUGAAUCAGAAAAGAAAAAAAGCAUAUUAUUUAUAUAAAAAAUAGUAACAAUAAAAACAUUGAAAAUA
Molecule: long non-coding RNA, 1457 nt
Organism: Apis cerana (Asiatic honeybee)
Lineage: Eukaryota; Metazoa; Arthropoda; Insecta; Hymenoptera; Apidae
Source: RefSeq, a predicted model, not a curated record